Molecule: non-coding RNA, 30 nt
Filed under: Mus musculus (house mouse)
Lineage: Eukaryota; Metazoa; Chordata; Mammalia; Rodentia; Muridae
Source: RNAcentral
UCGGAGUCACCAAGGUGCUUGCCCACUGCA